Molecule: ribosomal RNA, 253 nt
Filed under: uncultured bacterium
Lineage: Bacteria
Description: partial 16S ribosomal RNA
Rfam family: Bacterial small subunit ribosomal RNA
Source: RNAcentral
UACGUAGGGUGCAAGCGUUGUCCGGAAUUAUUGGGCGUAAAGAGCUCGUAGGCGGUCUGUCGCGUCUGCUGUGAAAACUCGGGGCUUAACCCCGGGCCUGCAGUGGGUACGGGCAGACUAGAGUGCGGUAGGGGAGACUGGAAUUCCUGGUGUAGCGGUGAAAUGCGCAGAUAUCAGGAGGAACACCGGUGGCGAAGGCGGGUCUCUGGGCCGUAACUGACGCUGAGGAGCGAAAGCUAGGGGAGCGAACGGG